This 82-nucleotide transfer RNA is filed under the name Parachlamydiales bacterium. Its description in RNAcentral is "tRNA-Leu". It matches the Rfam family "tRNA". Rfam says of the family: Transfer RNA (tRNA) molecules are approximately 80 nucleotides in length. Their secondary structure includes four short double-helical elements and three loops (D, anti-codon, and T loops). Further hydrogen bonds mediate the characteristic L-shaped molecular structure. tRNAs have two regions of fundamental functional importance: the anti-codon, which is responsible for specific mRNA codon recognition, and the 3' end, to which the tRNAs corresponding amino acid is attached (by aminoacyl-tRNA synthetases). tRNAs cope with the degeneracy of the genetic code in two manners: having more than one tRNA (with a specific anti-codon) for a particular amino acid; and 'wobble' base-pairing, i.e. permitting non-standard base-pairing at the 3rd anti-codon position. Lineage: Bacteria; Pseudomonadati; Chlamydiota; Chlamydiia; Parachlamydiales. The record is from RNAcentral.
GCCCAGAUGGUGAAAUUGGCAGACACGCCAGAUUUAGGUUCUGGUACCGCGAGGUGUGUAGGUUCGAGUCCUAUUCUGGGCA